Molecule: long non-coding RNA, 2154 nt
Organism: Felis catus (domestic cat)
Lineage: Eukaryota; Metazoa; Chordata; Mammalia; Carnivora; Felidae
Exons: 3
Source: RefSeq, a predicted model, not a curated record
CUGAGCCGAAGUCGGCACUUAACCAACGGAGCCACCCAGGCGCCCCAGUGCACGCACAGAAUUAACCUGCCCCAGAGCAUGGGUCACGAUUCAGCCCUGGGACGAUGAGGACACGAGCUAAAUGCCACCAAAGUGGAGCCAAAGCCCCAUCGCAGCCCGCCCAACCCGAGCACUCAGCACGCAGUCCGUGAGCAGGCUGGACACCCACCGGAGGGAGCGCAGUCCUAGGCCAGGGUCCCUUGGAACCCACCCUCUUUCCCCAAACCUGCGGGCUUUCGGGGAGGCCUAGCUGAGCCCCACAGCUAGCCAGCCGGCAAGGACACGAGGCAGACCUGCCUAUUUGUUUAUGAGAAGGCCUUCCGUCUCUGGAUAUUCCAGAAAGACGGCGCUGAGCUCACUUGUCUCGCUGAGAAGACAGAAAGGCCCGGAGACCAGGAAGCAUCCUCGAGAAACUCUCUCUCCGAGGAAUUUCAAGGAGCCGGCUGGGUCUCUGUGGAGUACGCGGCAUUAUCUCAUUACCAUCUCGCCUGGUGAUCGGAUUCCGUUAGCUGACUCUCUUUAUUAGCAGGCAAAGGCAAACUUAUGAAAUACCUUUAAACCUGGAUUUCCUUAACAAUAUAUCAUGGGGGAACUGACAGCCCUCGUUCGCUUCCCUCUGCCAGAGAGAAUUAAGAUUGUUCCCAAUUUAAUCUCUUUUCCGCAUCGGAGGCGGGCAUUUGUGUUUCAGCCGAAAACUCGAGGUAGCGGCUCUGGGGGAGGAGGCUUUGGAUGGUCACAGAGGAGCUUUGAUAGGUGUCCCGUGUGCCGUGAUGCAGACGGGACGGGGCUGGCCUUGGCUUCGGGGAGCCUGGGCAAGAAGUCUCCCGUUCUGCCCUUGGUAGGAGCGGUGGACACGCGUCCCUGCUGGGAAGAGAUAAGAGAACAGAUCUGUGAGUUACCAGCUCUGUAGUGUCAGGGACAGGUGUUGGGGUGAUGCCUAGGCUGUCACAGAUACUGCUCGCUGUAAUGCCAGCUAAUUCCGCGGCCUUCUGGCUUUCUAGAAGUCAGAGUCACCAGGAUGGCUCUUAGUAGGGUUCUGGCUGAGUCGUGCCCUGGCUGUGUACCCACGGGUACGGUGCAAGUGAUGCUGCUGUCCCGCUCAGAUCCCCGUGGCUGGCCCGGUGCACUCACCCCCCAGCGGAGCAUUGGCUGCUAAAACUCGCAGCGGUCCCCCUUCUCUAGAGAAUGAGUCUUAGACGGAAUGGGAGCCACCUGACCCCAGAGGGUAGGUAGUAACACCCUGUCCUAGUCACCUCGCCUUAAGCCAUGAAACAAUGACCGACUGACCCAGGGGCACAAAAGACCAGCCCCCUUGCCUUCAGGUAAGUCUGACCUUGAAGUAAAAUCCAUGCUCCUGGGGUCCCCGGCUGAAGUUGAUCCCAGCCCAGGCCUCGUUCCCUCACCUGCCUCUCCCGAGCGCGCUUUCCCUGGGCUCAGCCUGUAGUAAACGGUUGCAUUUGGGCUGCUUGGGUUUUCUGGGCUCUGCUGGGCCUCUCCUGGAGUCAGACUGCGCGUGGCAGGGAGUUGCCAUGGACGGUCAAGGCUGGCGGGACCACGCAGUGAAGCCGUGAGCAGUCACGGAGGCCCCCCCCCUCCCGGGGCACGUCCUGAGUACCCUCCCCCGGUAACAAGCAGGCAUGGCUGGGAGUGCCUGGACCCAUAGCCCGCCUGGCAGGGGCUGCCUGGGACGCUGUCCUCCCCCUCGCUGUGUUAGUGGAGCACAUAAGCCGCCCUCCGAGGCAGCUCUGAACCAUGGCCUCUUAGAUCUGCACGGCCUCCGCCAGAGCCGUGGAGCCUGACCAGGGCGCGCCCGGCCAAGCACAUCACAUCCCUACAGGCGCUCUGCAUGGAGACGUGGAAGGCUGCAGAGGAGAGGGGAGAAGAACUGUGUUGGAAAAUCCUAUUAUCUACCCAGGCCCCCAUUGAUAGCCCAUGCAUGAAACCAAUUUACAAAGUGUGAGUCAAAGCUUCGCGGACCGCCUGUUCUCACGGGAGCCCAGCAAUCACCCUGCCCACGGCCUCCGCACACAGAAUGCCGGGCCGCCCUCCGUCCACGCUGGCUCGCUCUAGAGUUGUCAGUCAGCGCCCUGGGCUGACCACCCUCCCUCACCACCC